This 1002-nucleotide ribosomal RNA is filed under the name uncultured Piscirickettsiaceae bacterium. Its description in RNAcentral is "bacterial SSU rRNA". It matches the Rfam family "Bacterial small subunit ribosomal RNA", at positions 61 to 1054 of the family's 1533-position model. Lineage: Bacteria; Pseudomonadati; Pseudomonadota; Gammaproteobacteria; Thiotrichales; Piscirickettsiaceae. The record is from RNAcentral.
GUCGAACGGUAACAGAACUAGCUUGCUAGUUGCUGACGAGUGGCGGACGGGUGAUUAAUGUAUAGGAACUUGCCUAAUAGUGGGGGACAACAUGUGGAAACGCAUGCUAAUACCGCAUACGCUCUACGGAGGAAAGCAGGGGAUCUUCGGACCUUGCGCUAUUAGAUAGGCCUAUAUUGGAUUAGCUAGUUGGUAAGGUAACGGCUUACCAAGGCGACGAUCCAUAGCUGGUUUGAGAGAAUGAUCAGCCACACUGGGACUGAGACACGGCCCAGACUCCUACGGGAGGCAGCAGUGGGGAAUAUUGCACAAUGGAGGAAACUCUGAUGCAGCAAUGCCGCGUGUGUGAAGAAGGCCUUAGGGUUGCAAAGCACUUUCAAUAGGGAGGAAAAGUUAUGUCUUAAUACGGCAUAGCCGUGACGUUACCUAUAGAAGAAGGACCGGCUAACUCCGUGCCAGCAGCCGCGGUAAUACGGAGGGUCCGAGCGUUAAUCGGAAUUACUGGGCGUAAAGCGCGCGUAGGUGGUUAGACAAGUCAGAUGUGAAAUCCCCGGGCUCAACCUGGGAACUGCAUUUGAAACUGUUUGGCUAGAGUAUGGUAGAGGUGAGUGGAAUUUCAGGUGUAGCGGUGAAAUGCGUAGAGAUCUGAAGGAACAUCAGUGGCGAAGGCGACUCACUGGGCCAUUACUGACACUGAGGUGCGAAAGCGUGGGUAGCAAACAGGAUUAGAUACCCUGGUAGUCCACGCCCUAAACGAUGUCAACUAGGUGUAUGAGAGUUUAACUCUUGUGUAUCGAAGCUAACGCGAUAAGUUGACCGCCUGGGGAGUACGGCCGCAAGGCUAAAACUCAAAUGAAUUGACGGGGGCCCGCACAAGCGGUGGAGCAUGUGGUUUAAUUCGAUGCAACGCGAAGAACCUUACCAGGUCUUGACAUGUACGGAACUUUCCAGAGAUGGAUUGGUGCCUUCGGGAACCGUAACACAGGUGCUGCAUGGCUGUCG